Molecule: ribosomal RNA, 2076 nt
Filed under: Triticum aestivum (bread wheat)
Lineage: Eukaryota; Viridiplantae; Streptophyta; Magnoliopsida; Poales; Poaceae
Description: partial small subunit ribosomal RNA
Source: RNAcentral
AUGGAGCCCAAGCCCAACACCGCGCUCGCCCGCAAGCCUAUAGAAGAGGCAGUAGACAACUUGACGAUUGAUGCUAGCACGAAGGCAAGCAACGGCAACUUGCCUGCUGCAAAAGACGUGAGUUCUUCGGAUGCAAUAUCAUGCAUUUCCUCGGCAGAUGCAGCUAGUACUGCUGCCAAGGAUGCUGAGAUGAACCAAGUAACUUAUAUGGGGGACCAAGGGAUGUGUUACUACGGGUACUAUUAUCCAGGCUCAUUUGGAGGAUGGGAUGAGAAUAGCUACUAUGCUGGAUCGAAUGGACUGGAGAUGCAACCGACAGUGGUUCAAGCUGAGAAUGGAUCUUAUUUGUGUUAUGUUCCGGGUUACGAAAAUGGAUAUACUGCUUAUAGUCCAGUCGUUCCUGGAAAUGGCGUGGAUGGUCAGUAUGUCAGCAAAGAGCCAUAUUACUCCGCUGUGGUUCCAGUGCAGGACCCUUCUACACCUGGCAUGUAUGCUCAACCAAUUGCUUACGGACCUGAGCUAGUCCCCGCAUACACAUGGGACCCUUAUGUUCUUCUGGAUGGGGUUCAGGGACAUCCUGUUGGUGUGCACCAAACGAACUACCCUACAAGAUCAAACUACCCUUCCAAUAAGCAUGCUGUUCCAUCUUCAAAAGCUUCACGCAGCACAAAGUAUGCAUCAGGUACCACCAAAGGAUCAUCAUCAGCUGUAGACACAGUGCCAACCUCCGCCAAUAACCAUCCAUCAUCAAAGUUUGCAAAUAAGGUAUCUGGUGCUUCCAUAACAAAAGGGCAUCUUCCGUCUAGCAAGUUUGUGGCGCAUACUAACCAAGGGAAAGGAAGCUUUUAUCAAAGUAAAGGCAUUAAUUUGAAUGAAAGUGGUAGAAACUGCAACGGGAAUGAGAAGCUGAAGGCCAGGAGCAAGCUAAAUGAAUUUGGUGACCGUGACGUAUCAGAUAAACCCAACGAUGACUCAAAAAACAGUUUGAGCCCAGGAGCAGAUCGUUUUGGCUUGUCGGGUGUACAAGAGGUUAACGAUGACAUACCUUCACUUGUUGCAGUAAGAAGAGAUUCAUAUAAUCUUCCUGAUUUUGUUACGAAGUAUGAGCAAGCUUUAUUCUUCGUGAUUAAAUCUUAUAGUGAAGAUGAUAUUCACAAGAGUAUCAAGUACAAUGUUUGGGCAAGUACUCCUAAUGGAAACAAAAGGCUUGACAAUGCCUAUAAAAUUGCACAAGAAAGAAUGGCAGGAAAAGGAACCAAAUGCCCUGUUUUCCUCUUCUUUUCUGUUAAUGCUAGUGGUCAGUUCUGUGGUGUGGCUGAGAUGCUUGGCCCAGUAGAUUUCAACAAGAGUAUGAACUUCUGGCAACAGGACAAGUGGAAUGGAUUCUUCCCAGUAAAAUGGCACAUUAUCAAGGAUGUGCCUAAUCCUCAAUUUCGACACAUAAUAUUGGAGAAUAAUGAGAACAAGCCUGUUACAAACAGCAGGGACACUCAAGAGGUCAAGUUCCUACAAGGUGCAGAGAUGCUGAACAUUUUCAAGAACUUUUCAUGCAAAACGUCAAUAUUGGAUGACUUUGACUUCUAUGAGAAUAGGCAGAAAGUAAUGCAGGACAGAAGAGGCAAGCCGCUUACUACAUCAUUGGAUCACCUCACGCCGAAGGAUGAGAAACCGUCAGAGUCUGAAAAGCAAGCUCAAUCUGCAUGUAACGUAGAGCAUCAUAAUGCCAAGAGAAACGAGGAGCAGAGCAACGAUGUUACAACAGAUGUUGAUACAGCCAAGACAAGUCAGAAGCAGAUCAAUGUGGAUCCGGCAGAUGUUGAUACAGCCAAGACAGGUCAGAAGCAGAGCAACGUGGAUGCGGCAGAUCUUGAUACAACCAAGACAAGUGAGCAGAGCAAAGUGGUUGCAGCAGAUGUUGAUACAGCCAAGACAAGUGAGGGGAGCAAUGGUGUUGCAGCAGAUCUUGAUGCAUCAAACAGAAGCGAGGAACAGAGCAACAAGGUCACCGCCGCGAUGCUUGAUGAUACAGGCAAGAGAAGCGAGGAGCAGACGAGCAGCGUCGCCGCGGCAGGCUGA